This is a non-coding RNA of Acanthosepion pharaonis, 111 nucleotides long. The record is from the annotation of a GenBank genome assembly. NCBI's taxonomy places the organism in Eukaryota, Metazoa, Mollusca, Cephalopoda, Sepiida, Sepiidae.
UGUCCAUAUCAUGUUCAAACACCAGUCCCCAUACAAUCACCAAAGUUAAGCAAUGUCGAACUUGGUCAGUACCUAGGUGGGUUACCACUUAAGAAUACUAGGUGCUGUAAG